RNAcentral lists this long non-coding RNA (1925 nucleotides) under Homo sapiens (human). RNAcentral describes it as "HSALNT0336774". The record is from RNAcentral. Lineage: Eukaryota; Metazoa; Chordata; Mammalia; Primates; Hominidae.
ACAAAAUAGAAGUUCCUAUAAUAACUCCCUCAGCUGCCCACCACCAAAUGUCUAGGCUUCCUAUGUCUGUACUGUCUUCACCCUCCUUCUUCCUGUCAACUUGGAGGAGGUGUCUCUCCUUCCAUCAAAGGUCAAUGCCUCCACUUUUGCCUUAUAUAGAAAAUUAUCUCUACUAUUGCUUUUUUCUUCUACUUAAUUAAUCUCUCUGUCUGUGCUGGAACAUUCCUAUCAGCUUAAACAUCUGAUAUAUCCCAUGCUGAAAAAAACAAAAGACGGAGGAGGAAGAGGAGGAGGAGGAGAAAGGAAAGGAAACCUGUCCUUUAAGUGCUCCUUCUAACUACCAAACCAUUUCUCUGCCCUGUGUCAUAUCCAUUUUUAUUGAAAGAGAUGUAUACACUCCACCUCUACUUCCUCACCUCUUCUUCAUUCUUCAAUAUCCUCCAAUCUCUCUCCAUUUUCAUAUCUUCAUUGGUGUGAAUUAUUAUGUCAUUAAAGUUAAUAAACUAUUUUUCUGUCUUCAUCUUAUUAGACCUCUUAGCAAUAUGCAAUGUGACAUCUAGGUUCUUCUCAAAACCCUCUUUACCUUGGCUUCUGUACCUGUUCUAUCUUCUACCACACUGGCCUACCACAAUAAUUUCAUUCUUCUUUGAUGGUCUCUUUAACUAUUGUUAUUUUUCAGAAUUUGGCUCUUCUUACGUGUUCUCAUCCAUUUCUAUGGCUUUACAUUUUUCUUUUGUGUCAGGACCCCCUUAAGCAUCAGAUUCAUGUCCACUCACCUACUUAAAUAUAUUAUAUUACCAUCUCAGUUUAGAAAGCAUCACAAGGCGACCUCAUUUGGCAUUUCAUUGCACUCAUUACAUGUGUGGAAACAUCCCUUCCAGACCAUCAUCUUCUGCUAAGUGUCCAGGGCUUGCUUAAGGCUUAUGAGUUCCUGGGAUAUUGCAAAAUGAUUUGUCUAUAUGUUCAUAUGGGGUAAGUCAGAGAAGGGUCAAACAAAAUUGAAGGACCAACAGGUGUCACUCCUGCAGAUCAGUGGCUUGGAGAAGUGCCAGAUACUACUGAAGAGAUGCUUUUAUUAGUCAUUGAUGAAAAGGACAGCUUGCAUAAUAUCAGGGCACAAGGGAUGGACAGUGAUUGCAUAAAGGUAGACCAGUGCACUUUUCAGAUGAUGACUUCUACAUGGCUUUUAGGUACCUGAGCAAUGCUCCUCACUGUGGUUCUUUGCUGAACUAGUCCCCAUUCCUGUCCAUGUGGCCCAUUCAGAUUUAGCCCUCUGACCUACACCACCAACCCUCUUCACUUCUUUGUUCCAUUUUAUCCCAGGGUAUCUCUUCUUUUCUGGCCACAGAAUGGCAUGACUGUUUGAAUACAGGGUAUGAAGAGGAGAAAAGUAAAAACCAGAUAAUAUGUCAAAUUAUUAUUCUAGCAAGAUAUCUGCAUUAGACAGCUCAUGCUGCCAUGAUGAAAUACCAUAGAUUGGGUGGUUUAAAAAACAGAAAUUUAUGUUCUCGUAGUUGUAGAGGCUAGAAAGUUCAGCAUUAAGGUCCAGGAGGGUUCAGUCUCUGGUUCUUUUUAUUUGACAAUGUAGGCUCAUUAUAGGAGCCACUGAAAACCUCACCUAAUUAAAAUUCACAGGUCAUAAAAUUUAAUUCAGUGGUAAGGCUAAUUUUCCUCUAAGCUAUUGAAUAUCAGUGAUUACUUCUUCAGUGGGAGUGAGGACAAAGACCAUUUUCAUCUCUUUUAUUGUUAAUAUAAAUUAGCCCCAACCGAAAUACUCACUUGAAAGAUGUGGAAAAUAUCGGGAGUGGCAGAUAUGUACAAACAGGGAAGAAAAUAAUUGAUGGAAUUCAGGUGCAACUCACCAACAUUAACAAUAAAACAGAGAUUUUUAGACUGAUAAAACAGACAUUUUGUAGCAACAAGAC